UACGAAGGGGGCUAGCGUUGCUCGGAAUGACUGGGCGUAAAGGGCGUGUAGGCGGCUUGUAGAGUCGGGUGUGAAAUUCCUGGGCUUAACCUGGGGGCUGCAUUCGAUACGUAUGGGCUUGAGUGCGGAAGAGGGUCGUGGAAUUCCCAGUGUAGAGGUGAAAUUCGUAGAUAUUGGGAAGAACACCGGUGGCGAAGGCGGCGACCUGGUCCGUGACUGACGCUGAGGCGCGAAAGCGUGGGGAGCAAACAGG
Molecule: ribosomal RNA, 253 nt
Filed under: uncultured bacterium
Lineage: Bacteria
Description: partial 16S ribosomal RNA
Rfam family: Bacterial small subunit ribosomal RNA
Source: RNAcentral